GAUGAACGCUAGCUACAGGCUUAACACAUGCAAGUCGAGGGGCAGCAUGGUCUUAGCUUGCUAAGGCCGAUGGCGACCGGCGCACGGGUGAGUAACACGUAUCCAACCUGCCGUCUACUCUUGGACAGCCUUCUGAAAGGAAGAUUAAUACAAGAUGGCAUCAUGAGUUCACAUGUUCACAUUAUUAAAGGAUUCCGGUAAAGGAUGGGGAUGCGUUCCAUUAGGUUGUUGGUGAGGUAACGGCUCACCAAGCCUUCGAUGGAUAGGGGUUCUGAGAGGAAGGUCCCCCACAUUGGAACUGAGACACGGUCCAA
RNAcentral lists this ribosomal RNA (314 nucleotides) under uncultured bacterium. Its description in RNAcentral is "bacterial SSU rRNA". It matches the Rfam family "Bacterial small subunit ribosomal RNA", at positions 28 to 334 of the family's 1533-position model. The record is from RNAcentral.